Molecule: long non-coding RNA, 366 nt
Organism: Oreochromis aureus
Lineage: Eukaryota; Metazoa; Chordata; Actinopteri; Cichliformes; Cichlidae
Exons: 3
Source: RefSeq, a predicted model, not a curated record
CACAUUCAGUCCAGACGAUAAUCACGGCCCAGAACAGCAACACUGUGACACUGCAGAGUCCUGCCAUAAUCACAGAGACACGAGAGGAUCACCACAGAGUCCAGACAAUCCAACAGCGCCCCCCGAGGACCCAAAGAUCACAGCAUGCAGCACUGACUGUCAGGCCUGUCUCCUGCACACAGAGAUUUCUCCACAUUUAAUGAAUCUUUUGUGGAUAUUUUUUCCUGUAGAUGCUGAGAGCUUCUUCCCAGUUUUAUGCUGAGAAAUAUUACUUGGAAACUGGUGCAGCUUUUUGCACAGCGGUGAAACUUUAUCCUUCAUUUGCUGGAGACAUUUUCCAAGUUGGGCCAAUUAUUCAUAAAGUGC